Molecule: long non-coding RNA, 237 nt
Filed under: Capsella rubella
Lineage: Eukaryota; Viridiplantae; Streptophyta; Magnoliopsida; Brassicales; Brassicaceae
Description: long non-coding RNA (CRUB_LNC002166)
Source: RNAcentral
AUUUUUUAUUUUUUUGUUCAUUUUUUUUUUUACUUUUUCCACGAGUAUAUAUCCAUAUAAUACUUCCCAAUUCUUCAUAAUAUAACUUUUUGUAAUGGAUACUUGAUAAUGGUUGAUGCUUAAUGGACAAUUGGACAUCAACAUUUACUAAAUGAACACGACGUUUUAACCUAUGUGCAACUACUAAUGGAUAAAUAUUAAAUAUAAUAAUUUUGCCUUAAGUAUAUCAAAAUACAU